AAAUUGAAAGGGUAAUCGAAUGCCCUUUCAAUUGUCAGAAGUCUUCACUUCGAAAAAUUCUGACAAUUGAAAGGGCAAUCAUUCGAUUACCCUUUCAAUUUU
RNAcentral lists this microRNA precursor (102 nucleotides) under Olea europaea subsp. europaea. The record is from RNAcentral. Lineage: Eukaryota; Viridiplantae; Streptophyta; Magnoliopsida; Lamiales; Oleaceae.